AUGGAGUCUGUUUUGGUUUUUGGAGACCAAAAUCAAGGAGCAGUUUUCCUACGUGAAUUUACGUUGAUUCGGAGAGAAAGUCUUCACGAUGAUUUCCUAUCUGAUUUGCUGAAUAACCACAAAACAGAAGACCCGGUUGGUUUUCUGAGGAAAAACAUAUGUAGUAGAAAAAGAUCUAAAUAUUGUCCUUACUGAAGGAAACUCUGCAGAUUGGGUUGAAGUAGUUACCAAAGAAACCACACAGGAAAGUGCUACUAUGAGCUACCACGGCCAUGGGAAGAGGACUCUCAUUCAUUCCCAAGGAAUUCACAAAGACAUGAAAGGAUACUAGAAACCAAA
RNAcentral lists this long non-coding RNA (339 nucleotides) under Cyanistes caeruleus (blue tit). RNAcentral's name for it is "lncRNA (ENSCCEG00000012468.1)". Lineage: Eukaryota; Metazoa; Chordata; Aves; Passeriformes; Paridae. The record is from RNAcentral.